AUGGCGUGUAAAAGAAACCUGAGUUUUACUACUCCCGUGAGUAAUAGGGCUUUGCAACCAGCAGCAAGCCCACUGAGCAUAAAUGAUUUAAUGAAACAGCUGAUCUCCGGUCAGAACGCUUUGUCUCAUCAGCUUGAGGGUUUGAUGGAGAAGCAAGCUGCAAACACUGUUCUUCUCGAAGAUGCUAUCCAGCGUCUUUGUGCUCUUGAGCGAAAGUUUGACGAGCAAAGACCGCAAGAGGAACAAAGACCGCGGGAAGAGCCAUUACAUAAAAGGAUAAAGAGGGCGCACAACGUGGGCAUUGGGGAAGCUGUAAGGCGCCUUCACAAUUCGGAAAACAACCUACAUAAAUAUGAUCCACAAACUGGAAUAAGUUCGCCUCGUAACCAAGCAGUCAUGACUUAUCUGCUAGAGGAAUUGAAAACAACUUUUGCAGAUGCAGACCCUGAGUGUAUACAAGUGUGUUGCAAGACAUACUUUGAAACACUUCGGAGAAAGUACAAUUUGUCUCAGCCAGAAAAGUCCCAGCUAAGAGAUUCCAUUAAAACAGGAGCUAAAAACCGACAAAGGAAAAGACGGUUGCUGGAUUCCAGGUCCAAGGUUGUUCAAACCGAUGCAGAGAGAGAGCUUUGGCAGACUGCAACAGUGGAGCUGAUGUCUGACGAGGAGGAUGCCAUUGUUGAUGGAAGGCCAGUGUGGAUUGUGAGGUCUCCAUCUCACAGGAACCCACAAUCGUCAGAACUUUGUGAGGAGCUUCAGCGCAGAUUGGAGGCAGACAUGCGCUACACUAUUUUGCAUCAUCAGCGUGUUAAGGCUGAUGGAAAUGGACAUGAUGGACCUUCCUUUCUUCAACUUUAACUAAACUGCACUGGUUUUGCAAUUUUAAUAAUUGCACCACAAACUGCACAUUUUCACUUAUUCUCUUCUAUUUUAUCUUAUUCUUUGUAUACUUAUUAGGUUAGAUUUAUUUAGUUUCAUAUUCUGCAACUUAUUUUCUUUUAAUAUUGUUUGUGUUUGCUGUGUUUGGUUACAUUUUAAAUACUUUGUGCUGUGUGUACAUAUUAAGU
Cyprinus carpio carpio is the source of this 1067-nucleotide long non-coding RNA. NCBI's taxonomy places the organism in Eukaryota, Metazoa, Chordata, Actinopteri, Cypriniformes, Cyprinidae. The record is from Ensembl.